ACUUGGCUGAACUGUCCAUGAGGACGCCAGACAGCAUGGACCGCCAGAGGGCCAUCUUUGGGUGGAAAUGGAUGGUGGAGAGGUACUUUUGGCUUCUCACCACCACUUUGGAGGAACUUGGGCUGAAGGACAAACCUCAUCAAAUUUACAACUGUGAUGAAACAGGAUUCAGCAUUGAGCAGGGCAGGUGCAAAGUACUGGCACCCCUGGGCGCUGCUCAGGUGUACCAGCAGGCCCAGGGGACAAGAGACCACCUGUCAGUACUGGCCUGCCUAAAUGCGGUUGGGUAGGAUGUUCCUUCUUUCAUAAUCUAUAAGAAACAUUCCCCGGAGGCCCCUUAACCCAAGGAGGACCUCCAGGUGCCCUGUAUGGCAAGUCGCCUGCAGGGUACAUUGACGGGGAGCUGUUCCUCAAGUGUUUUGGCUAUUUUAUUGCACAUGCCAACAAGGAGCGCCCUCUGCUCCUUACAUUAAACGGCCACAAGAGCCACCUCAUCAAAGAGGAUAUAGCAGCAGCAAAGAGGGAGCACCCCCCUGCCACCGCACCUGCUCCACCCAUCACCACAGCUCCACUCUCCACCGUCCCAGCCAGUGCCUCCUCCUCCUCCUCACCCCCUGCAGCCACCCCAUCAUCAUCCUCCUCUACCACCACAACAACAGGUCAGAAGAGGUAAGCUCCGGCACCGAAGACAGCUCAGAAGACGAAGAGAAGUGCCAGGGGGGACCGAGAAGCACCCACGGCACAAAAACAAGGAGUUGGUGCCCUACGCACAGCGCGUAGUGCGCGUUAUGGGAGCGGCGGCACUGAAUACAAUACAUUUCAAACCGUGAAAGAAAGAGGCAUUUCAACAAAAUGUGGGCAAGGGUGUCAAGAGCACAGAAAAGAAAAGGGGGUCAACCAGCAGUAACCCACCACAUCAGAGAAAAAUGAAUCAAAUGAACCAAACACCUCCGUUUAUGAGCGUGGUCCAGUAGCAACAGAAUCAGAAGUUGAGCUGGUUGAACCUACACUAAAAGAAGAAUUGUCAAGAGUGGGCCUGUAACUUUGGUGUCACUCACAAUGCACUGGACGCUCUACUAAAAGUGCUGAGACGGCAGGGCCACAAGGAGCUCCCCUCUACUGCCAGAACACUACUGGAAACAAAAAGAACAUUUAAAAUGGAAAUGAUAGGAGGUGUUGAGACCAUACAAUACGAUGUUGCGGACCAGCUCAAACGUCAUCUUAAUUAAUAUGUCCCGGACACAACAAAAGAUCUUCGAUCAGUAAACAUCUCCCUCAACACAGCUUGACGGCUUGCCCCUUUUCAAAUAUUCAAACAAAUCCCUCUGGCCAAUUCUUUGCUCCAUCAUUUUGACACCCAAAUCUAUUUCCCCCGCUCCCUCUCCAUUGCCUCAUCUAAAACCCAAGGACUUCACCUUUAUAAGUGGAAUAACAACACAACUAUCUGAACUAAUGCAGGAUGGUCUGGAAUGGAUGGGCAGAUCCCUAAAGGUAGAACUUUGUUUAACCUGUGAUGCCCCUGCUAAGGCCAUGGUGAGAUGCGUGAAGCUGUUUUCAGGGUAUUACGGUUGCGACAAAUGUAAUCAGAAGGGGGCCUGGGAUGGAAGAAUGCUCUUCCCAGAGAUGGACAGUCUCACCUUGAGGACCAAUCAGUCAUUCAGGGAGUGUUGGCAGCCCGAACACCACCAUGCGGAGCGCAUAUCUUCAUUCUGCAGCCUGCUGAUCGAUAUGGUCCAUCAUCCCCAGCUGAUUAUAUGCACCAGUGCUGCCUAGGCGUCAUGGGGAAGCUGCUGCUCCUGUGGAAAAGGGGAAAGACUGAGGUCAGAAUGUCUAGAGCACAAAUUGCACUGGUUAACACACGUCUGGGGGCCCUGAGAAGCGCAAUUUUUUUGGCCACAAGCCAAGGGGACUGGAUGACCUUGACAGCUGGAAGGCUACCGGGGGCAACAGGCCAGUGGCAGAUGAGGUGGAAGACCUAUUGGAGCGGCCACUGGAGACCCUGGAGGUGUUGGGACAGUCGUGCCACAGACUCCAGACAGAUGCCACAUUUAAGAAAAAGAUUAUUCAGUACUUGAGUCGGCAGGCUGGGGUGAGCCUCGGAGACAGAGUGAGGAGAAUGCUGAGAAAGAACAGCAGCAAUGAACUGUGGGGCCACUACAGCAACAAGGGGAGGAAGGGGAAACUGACAUUUUAGGCGCUGCCCAUAAACCAGGCAUUGAUAAGGGCAUGUCUGAAGGCCUAUCCAAAAAUAAAAGAUGCUGACACGUCCGCCCGUGGACGAGGAGGAGGAGGAAGAAGAGGAGGAAGUGGAAGCGGAAUUCCAACAUUGAACAUUUAAUUUAAUUUAAUUUAAUUUAAUUUAAUUUAAUUUUUUAUUAUUAAUAUUAAACUAUAUUAAACUAUAAAUAUGACCACAUUUUAUCCUGAAUGUGUGUUUCUUUUAGCUCGGAGAAAAUAAAAAUGGUAUUAGUCUAGUAGAAUUAAGUCACAGCGACAGAAAGGUUGUCAAAAUCACAUCUAGCAUUGUUAAAACAGUCUUUUGAACGUCCUUGAAUAACGUCCCCA
This is a long non-coding RNA of Clupea harengus (Atlantic herring), 2565 nucleotides long. The record is from Ensembl. Lineage: Eukaryota; Metazoa; Chordata; Actinopteri; Clupeiformes; Clupeidae.